This 500-nucleotide ribosomal RNA is filed under the name uncultured bacterium. Its description in RNAcentral is "partial 16S ribosomal RNA". It matches the Rfam family "Bacterial small subunit ribosomal RNA", at positions 30 to 523 of the family's 1533-position model. The record is from RNAcentral.
AUUGAACGCUGGCGGCAUGCCUUACACAUGCAAGUCGAACGGCAGCACGGGAGCAAUCCUGGUGGCGAGUGGCGAACGGGUGAGUAAUGUAUCGGAACGUGCCCAGUCGAGGGGGAUAACGUAGCGAAAGCUACGCUAAUACCGCAUACGAUCUAUGGAUGAAAGCGGGGGAUCGCAAGACCUCGCGCGAUUGGAGCGGCCGAUAUCAGAUUAGGUAGUUGGUGGGGUAAAGGCUCACCAAGCCGACGAUCUGUAGCUGGUCUGAGAGGACGACCAGCCACACUGGGACUGAGACACGGCCCAGACUCCUACGGGAGGCAGCAGUGGGGAAUUUUGGACAAUGGGCGCAAGCCUGAUUCAGUAAUGCCGCGUGCAGGAUGAAGGCCUUCGGGUUGUAAACUGCUUUUGUACGGAACGAAACGGCGAGCUUUAAUACAGUUUGCUAAUGACGGUACCGUAAGAAUAAGCACCGGCUAACUACGUGCCAGCCGCCGCAGUAA